Long non-coding RNA from Papio anubis (olive baboon), 2515 nucleotides. Lineage: Eukaryota; Metazoa; Chordata; Mammalia; Primates; Cercopithecidae. The record is from Ensembl.
AUGGGGUUUCACCAUGUUGGUCAGGUUGGUCUCGAACUCCUGACCUCAGGUGAUCGCCCGCCCCAGCCUCCCAAUAUGUUGGGAUUACAAGGCAUGAGCGACCGCACCUUAGCCACUAUUUUUAAGUUUUGUGUAGAGACAGCAUCUAGCUGUGUUACCCAGGCUGGUCUUGAACUCAUAGCCUCAAGUGAGCCUCCCACCUUGGCCUCCCAAGGUGCCGAGAUUAUCAAGGUGAGCUUCCAUGUCCAGACUUACAUUUCUCUGUGUGUGUGUGUGUGCGCGCGCAUGUGUGUGCGUGUGUGUGUGUGUGUGUGUUUUAAGCUACUAAGUCAUGGUAAUUUGUUACAGCAGCCAAAGGGAAUUAAUACAAUGAGUAAUAGGUAUGGGGGAGGAAAGGAGGAAAGGAAGUUACUUUUUAGCUGAAUACUUAAAGAGACUAGAUCCUUCCAUGGAGUCACUGUACAGUGUAGAGAUUCUGGGAGUUGGAAAACAGCUGUGAUAGUCUGUGGCAAGCAGAAUCCUAAGGAAGGUCAUGACCUCCACCCCUGGGUAUUGGGUGUUACUCUUGUGGUUAUGUAACCUUUUUUAUUUUAUUUCAUUUCAUUUCAUUUCAUUUUUUUGAGGCAGGGUCUCACUCUGUCACUCAGGCUGGAAUGCAAUGGCAUGAUUACAGCUCACUGCAGCCUCAAACUCCUGGGCUCAAGCAAUCCUCCCACCUCUACCUCCUGAGUAGCUAGGACUACAGGAGCACACCACCACAGUUGACGAACUUUUUAUUUUUUGUAGAGAUGAAGUCUUGCUAUGUUGCUAAGGCUAGUCUGAAAUUACCGGCCUCAAGCAGUCCUUUUGCCUUGUUCUCCCAAAGUGUUGGAUUACAGGCAUGAGCCACUGCAUCCAGCCGGCUAUAUUACUUUAUAUGGGAAAGGGACUUUGCAGAUAUAAUUAUAGUUACUAAUCGGUUGAUUUUAAGAUAGGGUGAUCAUCUGGUGGCCUAAUCACAUGAGCCCUUUAAAUGCAGAGAGUUGACUCCACCUGGUAGCCAAACAGGAUACAGUGAGACACAUUCCAGCUGGCUGGAGAAAAGCAAACAUUCGUGUUGUGAACUGCCAGUGAAGAGAGGUGGAUGGAAACCUUAGUCCUAUAGCCAUAAACAAAUGGAUUCUGCUAACAACCAGUGAGCCUGGAAGAGGAUCAUGAGGCCCAGGUGAGAAACAUGUCAGCCAAUAUCUGGAUUCUAGCCUUGUGAUGCCUUCAGUAAGAUCCCAGCCUCACUGUGCCCAACUUCUACCUAACCUACAGACCUGUAAACUAGUAAGUGGGUGUUGCUUGAGCUGCUACAUGUGUGGUCAUUUGCUACACAGCAACAGAUAACUAAUCUACAUCCCUAGGUAUUGAACUGACCAGGAGUGGGCAGGGAGGGUGCAGGCAGGAAAGAGUUCUCUCCAGCAUCCUGCCUCUACACAUUCCCAUCUGCCUCCACCACCUACUGCAUGCACCGCUAUAUGCCCAGGCUGUUGAGAAUCUACCAAAGCCCAGGACACAUUUUUUUAUUAUUCAAUUUAUCCAAGUUAAUCCUGAAGAAAUGAAGUUCUUAGUCUACCAGAGGUUCCUGUAAGCAGGUGCUAAAAUCAUGUGAUAUGGAAAAAUAACUUGGCCAGGCACAGUGGUUCACACCUGUAAUCCCAGCACUGUGGGAAGCCAAGGCAAGAGGAUCACUUGAGCCCAGGCAACAGCCACUGGGCAAUAGCCUGUAGAGAUGUAGACCUCAUCUCUACAAAACAUAAAUUAGCCGGGUGUGGUGGUAUCACUUGCCUGUUGGUCCCAGCUACUUGGGAGGCUAAGGUGGGAGGAUCACUUGAGCCCAGGAAUUCAAGGCUGCAGUAAGCUGUGAUCAUGCCACUGCACUCCAUCCUGGGCAGCAGAGCAAGACCCUAUCUUAAAAAAAAAAAAAAGAAAAGAAAAGAAAAGAAAAGAAGGCUGGGCAUGGUGGCUCAUGCUUAUAAUCCCAGCACUUUGGGAGGCCGAGGCAGGAGGAUCACCUGAGGUCGGGAGUUCGAGACCAGCAUGGCCAACAUGGAGAAACCCCAUCUCUACUAAAAAUACAAAAUUAGUCGGGUGUGGCGGCACAUGCCUGUAAUCCCAGCUACUCAGGAGGCUGAGGCAGGAGAAUCGCUUGAGCCUGGGAGGCGGAGGUUGCGGUGAGCCGAAAUGGCGCCACUGCACUCCAGCCUGGGCAACAAGAGCGAAACUCCGUCUCAAAAAAGAAAAAAAGAAAAAAAGAGAAAAGAAAAGAAACUUGCCCAUUCCCACCUGAAAUUCCAUGUUAUUGUGCAACACACACACACCAUGGUACAGCUAAAUGCUAAGAUGUAUUUUGCCCGCUUUUGAAGAACAAAAACCAUAGACAUUCACCACUUCAACCAAGAGGAAGAAAACUGCGCUGGAUCCACUCAGAAAUGAACUUUCUCUCCACGGACUCCAGCCCCACUCAUUUUCUUCGUCUCUGGAAUGAGCC